AGACCCGAAACCCGGUGAUCUAGCCAUGGGCAGGUUGAAGGUUGGGUAACACUAACUGGAGGACCGAACCGACUAAUGUUGAAAAAUUAGCGGAUGACCUGUGGCUGGGGGUGAAAGGCCAAUCAAACCGGGAGAUAGCUGGUUCUCCCCGAAAGCUAUUUAGGUAGCGCCUCGUGAAUUCAUCUCCGGGGGUAGAGCACUGUUUCGGCUAGGGGGCCAUCCCGGCUUACCAACCCGAUGCAAACUGCGAAUACCGGAGAAUGUUAUCACGGGAGACACACGGCGGGUGCUAACGUCCGUCGUGAAGAGGGAAACAACCCAGACCGCCAGCUAAGGUCCCAAAGUCAUGGUUAAGUGGGAAACGAUGUGGGAAGGCCCAGACAGCCAGGAUGUUGGCUUAGAAGCAGCCAUCAUUUAAAGAAAGCGUAAUAGCUCACUGGUCGAGUCGGCCUGCGCGGAAGAUGUAACGGGGCUAAACCAUGCACCGAAGCUGCGGCAGCGACACUCAGGUGUUGUUGGGUAGGGGAGCGUUCUGUAAGCCUGCGAAGGUGGCCUGUGAGGGUUGCUGGAGGUAUCAGAAGUGCGAAUGCUGACAUAAGUAACGAUAAAGCGGGUGAAAAGCCCGCUCGCCGGAAGACCAAGGGUUCCUGUCCAACGUUAAUCGGGGCAGGGUGAGUCGACCCCUAAGGCGAGGCCGAAAGGCGUAGUCGAUGGGAAACGGGUUAAUAUUCCCGUACUUGGUGUUACUGCGAAGGGGGGACGGAGAAGGCUAUGUUGGCCGGGCGACGGUUGUCCCGGUUUAAGCGUGUAGGUGUGUGUUCCAGGUAAAUCCGGUUCACUUUAACACUGAGGCGUGAUGACGAGGCACUACGGUGCUGAAGCAACAAAUGCCCUGCUUCCAGGAAAAGCCUCUAAGCAUCAGGUAACAUCAAAUCGUACCCCAAACCGACACAGGUGGUCAGGUAGAGAAUACCAAGGCGCUUGAGAGAACUCGGGUGAAGGAACUAGGCAAAAUGGUGCCGUAACUUCGGGAGAAGGCACGCUGACAUGUAGGUGAAGUGAUUUACUCAUGGAGCUGAAGUCAGUCGAAGAUACCAGCUGGCUGCAACUGUUUAUUAAAAACACAGCACUGUGCAAACACGAAAGUGGACGUAUACGGUGUGACGCCUGCCCGGUGCCGGAAGGUUAAUUGAUGGGGUCAGCGCAAGCGAAGCUCCUGAUCGAAGCCCCGGUAAACGGCGGCCGUAACUAUAACGGUCCUAAGGUAGCGAAAUUCCUUGUCGGGUAAGUUCCGACCUGCACGAAUGGCGUAAUGAUGGCCAGGCUGUCUCCACCCGAGACUCAGUGAAAUUGAACUCGCUGUGAAGAUGCAGUGUACCCGCGGCAAGACGGAAAGACCCCGUGAACCUUUACUAUAGCUUGACACUGAACAUUGAGCCUUGAUGUGUAGGAUAGGUGGGAGGCUUUGAAGCGUGGACGCCAGUCUGCGUGGAGCCGACCUUGAAAUACCACCCUUUAAUGUUUGAUGUUCUAACGUGGACCCGUGAUCCGGGUUGCGGACAGUGUCUGGUGGGUAGUUUGACUGGGGCGGUCUCCUCCUAAAGAGUAACGGAGGAGCACGAAGGUUGGCUAAUCCUGGUCGGACAUCAGGAGGUUAGUGCAAUGGCAUAAGCCAGCUUGACUGCGAGCGUGACGGCGCGAGCAGGUGCGAAAGCAGGUCAUAGUGAUCCGGUGGUUCUGAAUGGAAGGGCCAUCGCUCAACGGAUAAAAGGUACUCCGGGGAUAACAGGCUGAUACCGCCCAAGAGUUCAUAUCGACGGCGGUGUUUGGCACCUCGAUGUCGGCUCAUCACAUCCUGGGGCUGAAGUAGGUCCCAAGGGUAUGGCUGUUCGCCAUUUAAAGUGGUACGCGAGCUGGGUUUAGAACGUCGUGAGACAGUUCGGUCCCUAUCUGCCGUGGGCGCUGGAGAACUGAGGGGGGCUGCUCCUAGUACGAGAGGACCGGAGUGGACGCAUCACUGGUGUUCGGGUUGUCAUGCCAAUGGCACUGCCCGGUAGCUAAAUGCGGAAGAGAUAAGUGCUGAAAGCAUCUAAGCACGAAACUUGCCCCGA
This 2111-nucleotide ribosomal RNA is filed under the name Salmonella enterica. RNAcentral describes it as "partial 23S ribosomal RNA". It matches the Rfam family "Bacterial large subunit ribosomal RNA", at positions 711 to 2802 of the family's 2925-position model. Lineage: Bacteria; Pseudomonadati; Pseudomonadota; Gammaproteobacteria; Enterobacterales; Enterobacteriaceae. The record is from RNAcentral.